RNAcentral lists this small RNA (30 nucleotides) under Arabidopsis thaliana (thale cress). RNAcentral describes it as "ATSL066610". The record is from RNAcentral. Lineage: Eukaryota; Viridiplantae; Streptophyta; Magnoliopsida; Brassicales; Brassicaceae.
GUUCUACAGCCCCGUCACUGUAAUCAGUUC